Molecule: long non-coding RNA, 1308 nt
Organism: Epinephelus fuscoguttatus (brown-marbled grouper)
Lineage: Eukaryota; Metazoa; Chordata; Actinopteri; Perciformes; Serranidae
Exons: 9
Source: RefSeq, a predicted model, not a curated record
AAGACACCACUGCGCCUUUAAAUGGCUCCUUUCACCUUAAAAAACUCCCACCGCUUCAAAUGGCGAGUCAAAAGUAAUAUGCACCUUGUUUCAAACGGAAUUAAAAGUACUUAGAGUUUGAGCUGAGCACACAGGUGCAACUAAUCAGAUGUCACCAGGCAACCACCAGAGAUGGCACAGCGCCAUUUUGGAGUGAGCAAUUCACCAAAGACUUCGGAUGAAAACUAAUUGAAGAAGUUAGCAACAGCAAUGCUAAAUGAGUGGAAACUGGCUGCAGACUUUCAUGUGACGUCCUGUGUGUGAUUUAUCCUGGCUUCACGGCAGGGUGUCUCUGUUUGGACUUCCUCUCUGUGUGUCUUCAGUUUGUCGUGGUGGAGCAGCGGCAGCACGCUGGAGGAAACGUGGCCACCGAAUCGUCUGAUGGACCGAGCUGCACCAGCUGAGCCACCUGCCAGAAGCUUCACUCUGAUUGGCUGUCCAACAGGAAAUGGAAAACAAAUCAAGACCAGAGGAUGAAGUUGCAAAUUUAACUCUGAGGGGCGAACCAUCAACGAAACGGCCCAGCGAUCCCACUGACAGAGCAGGAGGAAGGCCAGUAUAGAGGUUUGACCAUGCGUGACCGCCGCCCCGCCCUCAACGAACCCCCGACGGAGAGAUCAUGAUCACUGGACGGCAAGGCUUUCAGCUCACAGCUCGCGUGUCUGUUUCUCCAACAUGCAACAACGUUCGUCAGAGCUGUCGGUUCCUCGUCUGAACCCAGAGAAGAUGCUGAACUGUCAUCAGCUGCUCUGAAAACAGAUUUACAAACUGGACAGAUGCUACAAGUUGACGAAAACUUGACUCCUGCAGAGGCUGAAUCUUCAUGAUGUAAACUCACGUUAAAAGUCUCACUGAUCAAAAGACAAACUUUUUUCCAACAAGGCGAGAAAACAAUGGGCACUGUGGACGGAAACACAGGAUAGAGCAGGUGUCACCCUGAGCAGCUCAGUGCAGAGACUGUUCAGGGAAACACAAAAAAGGAAUCCUCUACUCAACCCUAACUGUAACUUUGGAAGAUACCAGCAUACCUCUGACAUGGAUGUACCAUAUUUUUAUGGUGGAGUGAUGGCCAGCAGAGACUCAUCAGGGACUUGACUACAAAAGAAAGAUGGAUAGUUCAAGCAGAAUCACAGAGGAACUUAAAUCACACGUCUACAAAACGUGGAGUCUGGCCUCAUCUCUCCCUGCGUCUCAAAGAAGCUACAACCACAACUUGCAAAAUCUGCUUCAGUUUGUGGAUCAGAGACAUGACAGCAAACAGUGAGCAGG